Molecule: ribosomal RNA, 466 nt
Filed under: uncultured bacterium
Lineage: Bacteria
Description: bacterial SSU rRNA
Rfam family: Bacterial small subunit ribosomal RNA
Source: RNAcentral
GGCCAGACUCCUACGGGAGGCAGCAGUGAGGAAUAUUGGUCAAUGGGCGCGAGCCUGAACCAGCCAAGUCGCGUGAGGGAUGACGGCCCUACGGGUUGUAAACCUCUUUUGUCGGGGAGCAAAUUCCGUUACGUGUAACGGAGUCGAGAGUACCCGAAGAAAAAGCAUCGGCUAACUCCGUGCCAGCAGCCGCGGUAAUACGGAGGAUGCGAGCGUUAUCCGGAUUUAUUGGGUUUAAAGGGUGCGUAGGCGGACUGUCAAGUCAGGGGUAAAAUACGGGGGCUCAACCCCGUCGAGCCGUUGAAACUGGCAGACUUGAGUUGGCGAGAAGUACGCGGAAUGCGCGGUGUAGCGGCGAAAUGCAUAGAUAUCGCGCAGAACUCCGAUUGCGAAGGCAGCAUGCCGGCUCCACACUGACGCUGAGGCACGAAAGCGUGGGUAUCGAACAGGAUUAGAUACCCCCGUA